AAAUUGAAGAGUUUGAUCAUGGCUCAGAUUGAACGCUGGCGGCAGGCCUAACACAUGCAAGUCGAACGGUAACAGGAAGCAGCUUGCUGCUUUGCUGACGAGUGGCGGACGGGUGAGUAAUGUCUGGGAAACUGCCUGAUGGAGGGGGAUAACUACUGGAAACGGUAGCUAAUACCGCAUAAUGUCGCAAGACCAAAGAGGGGGACCUUCGGGCCUCUUGCCAUCGGAUGUGCCCAGAUGGGAUUAGCUAGUAGGUGGGGUAACGGCUCACCUAGGCGACGAUCCCUAGCUGGUCUGAGAGGAUGACCAGCCACACUGGAACUGAGACACGGUCCAGACUCCUACGGGAGGCAGCAGUGGGGAAUAUUGCACAAUGGGCGCAAGCCUGAUGCAGCCAUGCCGCGUGUAUGAAGAAGGCCUUCGGGUUGUAAAGUACUUUCAGCGGGGAGGAAGGCGAUAAGGUUAAUAACCUUGUCGAUUGACGUUACCCGCAGAAGAAGCACCGGCUAACUCCGUGCCAGCAGCCGCGGUAAUACGGAGGGUGCAAGCGUUAAUCGGAAUUACUGGGCGUA
This 572-nucleotide ribosomal RNA is filed under the name Enterobacter hormaechei. Its description in RNAcentral is "bacterial SSU rRNA". It matches the Rfam family "Bacterial small subunit ribosomal RNA", at positions 1 to 562 of the family's 1533-position model. The record is from RNAcentral. Lineage: Bacteria; Pseudomonadati; Pseudomonadota; Gammaproteobacteria; Enterobacterales; Enterobacteriaceae.